CGGGACGGGGUGGGAGGUAAUGUCUGGGAAACGUGCCUGAUGGAGGGGGAUAACUACUGGAAACGGUAGCUAAUACCGCAUAACGUCGCAAGACCAAAGAGGGGGACCUUCGGGCCUCUUGCCAUCGGAUGUGCCCAGAUGGGAUUAGCUAGUAGGUGGGGUAACGGCUCACCUAGGCGACGAUCCCUAGCUGGUCUGAGAGGAUGACCAGCCACACUGGAACUGAGACACGGUCCAG
RNAcentral lists this ribosomal RNA (238 nucleotides) under uncultured bacterium. RNAcentral describes it as "partial 16S ribosomal RNA". It matches the Rfam family "Bacterial small subunit ribosomal RNA", at positions 104 to 334 of the family's 1533-position model. The record is from RNAcentral.